Molecule: ribosomal RNA, 793 nt
Filed under: uncultured Staphylococcus sp.
Lineage: Bacteria; Bacillati; Bacillota; Bacilli; Caryophanales; Staphylococcaceae
Description: bacterial SSU rRNA
Rfam family: Bacterial small subunit ribosomal RNA
Source: RNAcentral
CGGCGGACGGGUGAGUAACACGUGGAUAACCUACCUAUAAGACUGGGAUAACUUCGGGAAACGGAGCUAAUACCGGAUAAUAUUUUGAACCGCAUGGUUCAAAAGUAAAAGACGGUCUUGACUGUCACUUAUAGCAUGGAUCCGCGCUGCAUUAGCUAGUUGGUAAGGUAACGGCUUACCAAGGCAACGAUGCAUAGCCGACCUGAGAGGGUGAUCGGCCACACUGGAACUGAGACACGGUCCAGACUCCUACGGGAGGCAGCAGUAGGGAAUCUUCCGCAAUGGGCGAAAGCCUGACGGAGCAACGCCGAGUGAGUGAUGAAGGUCUUCGGAUCGUAAAACUCUGUUAUUAGGGAAGAACAUAUGUGUAAGUAACUGUGCACAUCUUGACGGUACCUAAUCAGAAAGCCACGGCUAACUACGUGCCAGCAGCCGCGGUAAUACGUAGUUGGCAAGCGUAAUCCGGAAUUAUUGGGCGUAAAGCGCGCGUAGCGGUUUUUUAAGUCUGAUGUGAAAGCCCACGGCUCAACCGUGGAGGGUCAUUGGAAACUGGAAAACUUGAGUGCAGAAGAGGAAAGUGGAAUUCCAUGUGUAGCGGUGAAAUGCGCAGAGAUAUGGAGGUACACCAGUGGCGAAGGCGACUUUCUGGUCUGUAACUGACGCUGAUGUGCGAAAGCGUGGGGAUCAAACAGGAUUAGAUACCUGGUAGUCCACGCCGUAAACGAUGAGUGCUAAGUGUUAGGGGGUUUCCGCCCCUUAGUGUUGCAGCUAACGCAUUAAGCACUCCGCCUGG